UGCCAUACCAUGCUGAAAGCACCUGUUCUCGUCUGAUCACCGCAGUUAAGCAGCAUCAGGUGCGGUCAGUACUUGGGAGGGUGACCACC
Araneus ventricosus is the source of this 89-nucleotide non-coding RNA. NCBI's taxonomy places the organism in Eukaryota, Metazoa, Arthropoda, Arachnida, Araneae, Araneidae. The record is from the annotation of a GenBank genome assembly.